RNAcentral lists this ribosomal RNA (447 nucleotides) under uncultured bacterium. Its description in RNAcentral is "bacterial SSU rRNA". It matches the Rfam family "Bacterial small subunit ribosomal RNA", at positions 355 to 825 of the family's 1533-position model. The record is from RNAcentral.
UCGGGAAUUUUGGGCAAUGGGCGAAAGCCUGACCCAGCAACGCCGCGUGAAGGAUGAAGUAUUUCGGUAUGUAAACUUCGAAAGAAUAGGAAGAAUAAAUGACGGUACUAUUUAUAAGGUCCGGCUAACUACGUGCCAGCAGCCGCGGUAAUACGUAGGGACCAAGCGUUGUUCGGAUUUACUGGGCGUAAAGGGCGCGUAGGCGGCAAUUCAAGUCAUCUGUGAAAUCUCCGGGCUUAACUCGGAACGGUCAGAUGAUACUGCUUUGCUAGAGUGCAGAAGGGGCAAUCGGAAUUCUUGGUGUAGCGGUGAAAUGCGUAGAUAUCAAGAGGAACACCUGAGGUGAAGACGGGUUGCUGGGCUGAUACUGACGCUGAGGCGCGAAAGCUAGGGUAGCAAACGGGAUUAGAUACCCUAGUAGUCCCUGAGCGGGCUGGCAAGGCGCAU